CCGCAGGCCUUUUGGAGAUUCUGAUUAAGGAGGUCUGGGAUGGGGCAGGAGUAACAAUACUUUUUGAAUGAUUCACAAUGAGAUGUACAAACUGUGCUUGAAAAUCACUGGGAUGGCUUAAUGUGUGAGAACGCAAUAAAAACAUUUAGUGUUUACACCUAUUAUGAAUAGUUAACAGGCACACAAUAUUAUCAUUCAUAGAACAUCCUAUGACAAAGAACAGACUUUAUAUAUCUCUCUAUAGUAUAGUGGAACUCUUUCCUUUGCAAAGAUCCUGCAAAGCUGCCUUUAACUCUUUUGAUAUUUCAUAUUGAUUAAAUAUUUCUGAAUUCUCUUGUGAUAGGUCAAAAAAUUGAGGAAGACAUAAUUAGCAGCUGAAGAAUGACUCAGAUCAUCAGUAGUGAAUAAGAAUGAUUAGGGGGAAAUGUAAGUGACAGGAACAAUGCCCUGAAGCAGUGGGGAGAAAGAAGUACUGAACAUUGCCUGAGUUCCAUGUGUGAAGAAUAUUCUGUUUUGUUGUUGUUGUUAUUCUCAUGGGAAAAUUCUACUGAUAGAGUUGUGUCAAAAAUUUUAAAGUUUUUAAGCCAUUCCUAUAAUCUUGGCAAUUAGACCAGUUGAAUAUGAUUUUUUUUCUUUUUCCAAAAUAAUAGUCAUGCAAUAGUUUAUGAGUGUUAUUAUCUGGCAUCAUGCUAACAGUUAGUGCAAUUCUUCCUGGAAGGAAGACCUAUAGAGAUUAAACAAUGUUUAGGCCCCAGUAAGUUAAAUUAUUCCCUUUCCGACAGACACCCUAUAUGGAGAAGGCAAAUUAAAAAGGAAGUAAGGUAGCUAUUAGUUGAUAUCCAAUUUUCUUCAAAUCUUCUAAAGUGUGUUUUCAUAUUUUCUGGAGAUGUGUGGGAAAAUUGAGCUCUGACUCAGAUCCAACUCAAAGCCUGUGCAAGCAUGAGAGGCUAAGUAGUUUCCUGCGAAGCUCUGCACUACCAACCUCUGUUUAAUUUGUUUUCUUAUGUUAUAUCUCAGAGUACAAUAUUAUUAUGAUUUGGCAGAAAACCUUGAUCUGUUAGUAAUUAGGCAUACCACUAAAGUGAACAUGGGUUGGUUGCCAGGCAAUUGUUCUGCAUUUCACAAUGACUUGUAUACUCAAGAGAAUAAAUUAUAUCCAAGCAGGGACCACAAAACAGGGGUUUCUGACAGGCUAGGGUAGAAGGUGAAAACACACACACACAGACACACACACACACACAUCAGAAUAGCAAAAACAAAUCCCAAAGGAGCAUUUCAUUGAGGUUCUCUGAAAUCUUAUGAACACUGGCCCUAGUUUGACUGGAUAGGAAGAUGCAAGACAGUGAGAACUAUUGAAGAAGGGUUUCUUUAGCAUGGAUUAGUGGUCAGGUGCAUGCUGAUCCUAGGGUGAUGAUGAUAAAUUUUAAUGAAGAAAAUUUUCUGAAACCCCUUUAGUAACACAAUGUCAAUAGGCACUGUCUACUAGUGAACAAGAAUGAGAGAGUCUCUAAAUUUAAAUUUGGUGAAACAGUAAAGUCAUAAUUUUGAUAAGUGAGAAUUGCUGUUAAAGGUAAAGGUAGUGUGAGGUCAAAAAUAGAUAUUCAAAAAAUUUAGAAAGAGAAACUCCAAAAACACACUUAUUGGAAGUGUUAAACUUAGGCAAUAAGUAUAUGAUAGGAUCCAAGAUUGUAGUCUAGCCUCCACUACUGAAAACCUACAAAAAACCUUUAAAAUGCAUUAUGUCAUUUAGUAUUUACAGUAAUCUUGAAAACAGGUAAGACCAUUAUAAUUUCCAUUUUAUUGAAUUUUACUUUUUUAACACCAGGGAACAUGUGUUUAAUACAUGAAGGAACGUGUCAGAGAGAUUAAGAACUUGCCCAUGGUGACACAGCAGGGGAUGGGGCUUGGUGGAUUUAGUUUAGAGUUUCAAAUUCACAUAUUUUCUAAUGAAACAAAAACUCAGAAUGAAACUUGAUGCAUACAAUCUGGAAUGAGUGAAACAUUUUGCUCUAAACUAUUUCAUGAAAAGAAAAAUUUCAUAUAAUUCUGGUAAAUAAUAAUGUUCUCCAACAAGGCUGCUUACCGAGCAAUAAUGCUUAUUGCAUAUCCAAUAUCUUUAGAAAAAGGGCAAAUGUAGAAUGUAUUUAUUAUAGAAUCAUUAGCUUUUUGAAACAAUAAUUACUUUACUUGGUAGCAUACAUUUUUACUUUUGAGAGACUUAUUGAUGGGAGCCAAUGGGAAAGAUGUGAAUUUUUGUAGUAAUUUAUAAAAUUCAAAAUCAUAGCUGUGGGGUGACCAAGGAAAUAGUUAUAGUUCCCACUUUUAGUUGGGACUUUUGAAUUGCUUUGCUCCUGAAAGGUAUGUGCCAUGAAUUGAGAGGAGGGAGGAGCUUACCAAAGAAUUUGAGAUGAAUAAAAUCUAACCUAGUCAGGACACAUUUACAGAAUUUUUUUUGUUAAAAAAAACUGUAGAAAUGAAGGCUUGUUAUUCUCAUUUCCAUUACAUAAAUGGUUGCUCAAAUGUGAAUUUCUAAUUUAUCAUAGUUUAUGGUGAUACAUUAAGAGACUAAUGUGUCAUUUGUGUUUUGAUUUCUACAUUCUAGAGAGACAGUUUAAUCAGUCCGUGACCAAAAUCAAACAGAGUAAACUGUGUCAUCAUGGAGAUCUGCCCAGGAAAUCCCCAAAAUACAGAAGGAUCAGAAGUAGAUGGAAAUAAUGUCAUAGAACGUCUCUCACAACUGUGUUAUAAGAAUGACAGGGAAGCUACAGGUUACAACAGAUUUGUGAACUCAGCCAAGCACAGUGGUGGCAGGGCCUAGCUGCUACAAAGAAGACAUGUUUUAGACAAAUACUCAUGUGUAUGGGCAAAAAACUCGAGGACUGUAUUUGUGACUAAUUGUGUAACAGGGUAUUUUAGUUCCUGUUCUGUGGAAAGUGUAAAGCAUUCCAACAAAGGGUUUUAAUGUAGAUUUUUUUUUGCACCCAUGCUUUGAUUGCUAAAUGUAAUAGUCAGAUCGUGACGCUGAAUAAAUGUCUUUUUCUAAAAAAAAAAAAAAAGAAUGACACAUAUUUGUUCUUCAUUCUUGUUUCACAUUAGUAGUGGCAUUUCUCAUGCUCUAUUUUCCGUGGCUCCACUAAACAAUAGAUUUUUCAAUGGAGACAAAACAGCCUUGUAUUGGAAGAAGACAUCAUCCAGGACUUUCAUAGCUAGGGACAAGAAGUCAAUGCAUGGCUUCAAAGCUUCAAAGGACAGGUCAACUCUUUUCUUAGGGGCUCAUGCAGCUGGUGACUUUAGGUUGAAGCCAAUGCCAAUUUACCAUUCUGAAAAUUCUAGGGCCCUUUAG
RNAcentral lists this long non-coding RNA (3343 nucleotides) under Homo sapiens (human). RNAcentral describes it as "HSALNT0075772". The record is from RNAcentral. Lineage: Eukaryota; Metazoa; Chordata; Mammalia; Primates; Hominidae.